Long non-coding RNA from Pezoporus occidentalis (night parrot), 1345 nucleotides. RefSeq lists it as uncharacterized. The transcript has 2 exons. The record is from RefSeq and is a predicted model, not a curated record. NCBI's taxonomy places the organism in Eukaryota, Metazoa, Chordata, Aves, Psittaciformes, Psittacidae.
AUGGAUGCCAACUGGGUUUCAUACAUGCUCAAGAGAUUGUCCUUUUUCUCUUCAGAUGUCUUAAAACAAAAUCCCAAACUGGCUUUGUCUGCUUGAAGACCUAUUUCUAAUGUACACUGACAGAAUAAUCUAAUUUCUGUGAUGCUUAUCAGGUAUUCUGAAAUUUUCUGCAAGAUAUUCAUAAUGAUGGGACUAAAGCUGAUAAUCACAGAACAGAAAUUGGACUAAAUGAAAGAUCUUUUGUUUGACAUUUUGAAAAACCAAGAAACUUGGAAAUCAGUGCAUUACUUGUCCUGUUUCAUAUAGUUCUUUCUUAUUGCAUCUUUGUUUCUUUUUAUUUGCUUCUGAGUGGUACCUGCUGAACUGGUGGAGCUUGGAAGCCUUGACCCUCUGUAGAAGAAUUCUAAUGUAAAUAGCUGCAGUAUAGACUUGCAUACAAAUGUUGUAUAACUUGGUCCUGCUCUGUUUAUCCAUAAUACCCAUUUCACUGCUUGGUGUAUGAUUAAAAAUCGUCAACAACCAUGCUACUAUGAUACAUGCGCUGAUGUGUAUAUUGCUGACUUGAAUGCCCACUGUCAACAUAACCUUGCAGGCCACUAAAUGUUAUUUUGCUGUAAUCUAUGUUACUACUCUACUAUUUAUGAUUUUUGAUUAGAAACCAAAAUGACUUUAUGAUGUUUUUAUUGAAAUAUAAAUACUGAGAAUGUUGGUCUCCACCCAUUAAUCUCUAUUUAGCACAUUGUAAAAUAUAACAUAGUGAAUAUAUAUCAUCAAUAUUCUUUUCAUUUACUGAGAUAUUCCUGACUGCUAAACUUAAUGCUAUCAUUUCAGUUUUUGUCAGUGUCGCAUACUUGGCUCCUGAACAAGUAGUUCUGUGAAAAAUUUUAGCUAUAUGCCACCCAACAAAACCAAACCAUUAGUCAGCAUCAUGCUAAAGCAUACUGAUAGCAAACUUAAUUUCCUUAGCAUUGACAUUUGGGGUGAGGGGAGGCAGCAGGGAAUCUUAUGUUGCAUGCUAUAUCAUAACAAUAUCAGAAGAGACUUCCAUACUGAAAAAUCAGUAAGACAUUUUGAUAGAAGAGUUUAAACUUUCUGAAAUAAGGAAUAGUGUGCCCAUUACAUGAACUGUUUGCACUGUUCAUGUAUUAAAACUACAUGUUCUGCAGUUGUUUUGUGUCUAACUGAAGUAGUACAUGAGAGAUAAUGAGAUACAUUGAUAUACCAAAUAAUGACAUUUGGAUAACCUAGUGCUCCCAAAACUGCUUAUUCAGUUAUCAUGAGUGCUGUGAUUUUGAGUGCUGUCAUUGCCACUGUAAGCUCUCUUUGAAUACAACUAUGACUUAAA